This 2251-nucleotide ribosomal RNA is filed under the name Salmonella enterica subsp. enterica serovar Weltevreden. RNAcentral describes it as "partial 23S ribosomal RNA". It matches the Rfam family "Bacterial large subunit ribosomal RNA", at positions 711 to 2925 of the family's 2925-position model. Lineage: Bacteria; Pseudomonadati; Pseudomonadota; Gammaproteobacteria; Enterobacterales; Enterobacteriaceae. The record is from RNAcentral.
AGACCCGAAACCCGGUGAUCUAGCCAUGGGCAGGUUGAAGGUUGGGUAACACUAACUGGAGGACCGAACCGACUAAUGUUGAAAAAUUAGCGGAUGACCUGUGGCUGGGGGUGAAAGGCCAAUCAAACCGGGAGAUAGCUGGUUCUCCCCGAAAGCUAUUUAGGUAGCGCCUCGUGAAUUCAUCUCCGGGGGUAGAGCACUGUUUCGGCUAGGGGGCCAUCCCGGCUUACCAACCCGAUGCAAACUGCGAAUACCGGAGAAUGUUAUCACGGGAGACACACGGCGGGUGCUAACGUCCGUCGUGAAGAGGGAAACAACCCAGACCGCCAGCUAAGGUCCCAAAGUCAUGGUUAAGUGGGAAACGAUGUGGGAAGGCCCAGACAGCCAGGAUGUUGGCUUAGAAGCAGCCAUCAUUUAAAGAAAGCGUAAUAGCUCACUGGUCGAGUCGGCCUGCGCGGAAGAUGUAACGGGGCUAAACCAUGCACCGAAGCUGCGGCAGCGACGCUUAUGCGUUGUUGGGUAGGGGAGCGUUCUGUAAGCCUGUGAAGGUGGCCUGUGAGGGUUGCUGGAGGUAUCAGAAGUGCGAAUGCUGACAUAAGUAACGAUAAAGCGGGUGAAAAGCCCGCUCGCCGGAAGACCAAGGGUUCCUGUCCAACGUUAAUCGGGGCAGGGUGAGUCGACCCCUAAGGCGAGGCCGAAAGGCGUAGUCGAUGGGAAACGGGUUAAUAUUCCCGUACUUGGUGUUACUGCGAAGGGGGGACGGAGAAGGCUAUGUUGGCCGGGCGACGGUUGUCCCGGUUUAAGCGUGUAGGUGUGUGUUCCAGGUAAAUCCGGUUCACUUUAACACUGAGGCGUGAUGACGAGGCACUACGGUGCUGAAGCAACAAAUGCCCUGCUUCCAGGAAAAGCCUCUAAGCAUCAGGUAACAUCAAAUCGUACCCCAAACCGACACAGGUGGUCAGGUAGAGAAUACCAAGGCGCUUGAGAGAACUCGGGUGAAGGAACUAGGCAAAAUGGUGCCGUAACUUCGGGAGAAGGCACGCUGACACGUAGGUGAAGUGAUUUACUCAUGGAGCUGAAGUCAGUCGAAGAUACCAGCUGGCUGCAACUGUUUAUUAAAAACACAGCACUGUGCAAACACGAAAGUGGACGUAUACGGUGUGACGCCUGCCCGGUGCCGGAAGGUUAAUUGAUGGGGUCAGCGCAAGCGAAGCUCCUGAUCGAAGCCCCGGUAAACGGCGGCCGUAACUAUAACGGUCCUAAGGUAGCGAAAUUCCUUGUCGGGUAAGUUCCGACCUGCACGAAUGGCGUAAUGAUGGCCAGGCUGUCUCCACCCGAGACUCAGUGAAAUUGAACUCGCUGUGAAGAUGCAGUGUACCCGCGGCAAGACGGAAAGACCCCGUGAACCUUUACUAUAGCUUGACACUGAACAUUGAGCCUUGAUGUGUAGGAUAGGUGGGAGGCUUUGAAGUGUGGACGCCAGUCUGCAUGGAGCCGACCUUGAAAUACCACCCUUUAAUGUUUGAUGUUCUAACGUGGACCCGUGAUCCGGGUUGCGGACAGUGUCUGGUGGGUAGUUUGACUGGGGCGGUCUCCUCCUAAAGAGUAACGGAGGAGCACGAAGGUUGGCUAAUCCUGGUCGGACAUCAGGAGGUUAGUGCAAUGGCAUAAGCCAGCUUGACUGCGAGCGUGACGGCGCGAGCAGGUGCGAAAGCAGGUCAUAGUGAUCCGGUGGUUCUGAAUGGAAGGGCCAUCGCUCAACGGAUAAAAGGUACUCCGGGGAUAACAGGCUGAUACCGCCCAAGAGUUCAUAUCGACGGCGGUGUUUGGCACCUCGAUGUCGGCUCAUCACAUCCUGGGGCUGAAGUAGGUCCCAAGGGUAUGGCUGUUCGCCAUUUAAAGUGGUACGCGAGCUGGGUUUAGAACGUCGUGAGACAGUUCGGUCCCUAUCUGCCGUGGGCGCUGGAGAACUGAGGGGGGCUGCUCCUAGUACGAGAGGACCGGAGUGGACGCAUCACUGGUGUUCGGGUUGUCAUGCCAAUGGCACUGCCCGGUAGCUAAAUGCGGAAGAGAUAAGUGCUGAAAGCAUCUAAGUACGAAACUUGCCCCGAGAUGAGUUCUCCCUGAGACUUUAGGUCUCCUGAAGGAACGUUGAAGACGACGACGUUGAUAGGCCGGGUGUGUAAGCGCAGCGAUGCGUUGAGCUAACCGGUACUAAUGAACCGUGAGGCUUAACCUUACAACGCCGAAG